GAUGAACGCUGGCGGCGUGCCUAAUACAUGCAAGUCGAGCGAACAGAUGAGGAGCUUGCUCCUCUGACGUUAGCGGCGGACGGGUGAGUAAAACGUGGAUAACCUACCUAUAAGACUGGGAUAACUUCGGGAAACCGGAGCUAAUACCGGAUAAUAUAUUGAACCACAUGGUUCAAUAGUGAAAGACGGUUUUGCUGUCACUUAUAGAUAGAUCCGCGCCGCAUUAGCUAGUUGGUGAGGUAACGGCUUACCAAGGCAACGAUGCGUAGCCGACCUGAGAGGGUGAUCGGCCACACUGGAACUGAGACACGGUCCAGACGCCUACGGGAGGCAGCAGUAGGGAAUCUUCCGCAAUGGGCGAAAGCCUGACGGAGCAACGCCGCGUGAGUGAUGAAGGUCUUCGGAUCGUAAAACUCUGUUAUUAGGGAAGAACAAAUGUGUAAGUAACUAUGCACGUCUUGACAGUACCUAAUCAGAAAGCCACGGCUAACUACGUG
This 497-nucleotide ribosomal RNA is filed under the name uncultured bacterium. Its description in RNAcentral is "partial 16S ribosomal RNA". It matches the Rfam family "Bacterial small subunit ribosomal RNA", at positions 28 to 507 of the family's 1533-position model. The record is from RNAcentral.